CCUACGGGAGGCAGCAGUGGGGAAUUUUGGACAAUGGGCGCAAGCCUGAUCCAGCAAUGCCGCGUGCAGGAUGAAGGCCUUCGGGUUGUAAACUGCUUUUGUACGGAACGAAACGGUGAGCUCUAAUACAGUUUGCUAAUGACGGUACCGUAAGAAUAAGCACCGGCUAACUACGUGCCAGCAGCCGCGGUAAUACGUAGGGUGCGAGCGUUAAUCGGGAUUACUGGGCGUAAAGCGUGCGCAGGCGGUGAUGUAAGGCAGAUGUGAAAUGCCCGGGCUCAACCUGGGACCUGCAUUUGUGACUGCAUCGCUAGAGUACGGUAGAGGGGGAUGGAAUUCCGCGUGUAGCAGUGAAAUGCGUAGAUAUGCGGAGGAACACCGAUGGCGAAGGCAAUCCCCUGGACCUGUACUGACGCUCAUGCACGAAAGCGUGGGGAGCAAACAGGAUUAGAUACCCUGGUAGUCCACGCCCUAAACGAUGUCAACUGGUUGUUGGGUCUUCACUGACUCAGUAACGAAGCUAACGCGUGAAGUUGACCGCCUGGGGAGUACGGCCGCAGGUUGAAACGUCAAAUGAAUUGACGGCUUGGAGACGNGCGACGGACGACGACGACGGGAGGUAGG
This 624-nucleotide ribosomal RNA is filed under the name uncultured bacterium. Its description in RNAcentral is "bacterial SSU rRNA". It matches the Rfam family "Bacterial small subunit ribosomal RNA", at positions 338 to 960 of the family's 1533-position model. The record is from RNAcentral.